Molecule: ribosomal RNA, 453 nt
Filed under: uncultured Desulfobulbus sp.
Lineage: Bacteria; Pseudomonadati; Thermodesulfobacteriota; Desulfobulbia; Desulfobulbales; Desulfobulbaceae
Description: bacterial SSU rRNA
Rfam family: Bacterial small subunit ribosomal RNA
Source: RNAcentral
AGUAUGUGGUUUAAUUCGAUGCAACGCGAAGAACCUUACCUGGUCUUGACAUCCCGGAGACCCUUAGGAAACUAGGGGGUGCUUCCAUCUGGAAGAAUCUGGAGACAGGUGCUGCAUGGCUGUCGUCAGCUCGUGUCGUGAGAUGUUGGGUUAAGUCCCGCAACGAGCGCAACCCUUGCCUUUAGUUGCCAGCAGUUCGGCUGGGCACUCUAAAGGGACUGCCGGUGUUAAACCGGAGGAAGGUGGGGAUGACGUCAAGUCCUCAUGGCCUUUAUGACCAGGGCUACACACGUACUACAAUGGCCGAUACAAAGGGCAGCGACACUGCGAGGUGAAGCCAAUCCCGUAAAAUCGGUCUCAGUCCGGAUUGGAGUCUGCAACUCGACUUCAUGAAGCUGGAAUCGCUAGUAAUCGUGGAUCAGCCAAGCCGCGGUGAAUACGUUCCCGGGCCUU